GUACACUCCUGCGGGAGGCAGCAGUGGGGAAUUUUGGACAAUGGGCGAAAGCCUGAUCCAGCAAUGCCGCGUGCAGGAUGAAGGCCUUCGGGUUGUAAACUGCUUUUGUACGGAACGAAAAAGCUCCUUCUAAUACAGGGGGCCCAUGACGGUACCGUAAGAAUAAGCACCGGCUAACUACGUGCCAGCAGCCGCGGUAAUACGUAGGGUGCGAGCGUUAAUCGGAAUUACUGGGCGUAAAGCGUGCGCAGGCGGUUAUGUAAGACAGAUGUGAAAUCCCCGGGCUCAACCUGGGAACUGCAUUUGUGACUGCAUGGCUAGAGUACGGUAGAGGGGGAUGGAAUUCCGCGUGUAGCAGUGAAAUGCGUAGAUAUGCGGAGGAACACCGAUGGCGAAGGCAAUCCCCUGGACCUGUACUGACGCUCAUGCACGAAAGCGUGGGGAGCAAACAGGAUUAGAAACCCGAGUAGUCCC
RNAcentral lists this ribosomal RNA (474 nucleotides) under uncultured organism. RNAcentral's name for it is "partial 16S ribosomal RNA". It matches the Rfam family "Bacterial small subunit ribosomal RNA", at positions 331 to 797 of the family's 1533-position model. The record is from RNAcentral.